UACGUAGGGUCCGAGCGUUGUUCGGAAUUAUUGGGCGUAAAGAGCUCGUAGGCGGCCUGUCGCGUCUGCUGUGAAAGUCCGGGGCUUAACUCCGGGUGUGCAGUGGAUACGGGCAGGCUUGAGGUAGGUAGGGGAGACUGGAAUUCCUGGUGUAGCGGUGAAAUGCGCAGAUAUCAGGAGGAACACCGGUGGCGAAGGCGGGUCUCUGGGCCUGUACUGACGCUCAUGCACGAAAGCGUGGGGAGCAAACAGGAUUAGAUACCCUGGUA
RNAcentral lists this ribosomal RNA (269 nucleotides) under uncultured prokaryote. RNAcentral describes it as "partial 16S ribosomal RNA". It matches the Rfam family "Bacterial small subunit ribosomal RNA", at positions 524 to 792 of the family's 1533-position model. The record is from RNAcentral.